This 148-nucleotide non-coding RNA is filed under the name Nomascus leucogenys (northern white-cheeked gibbon). The record is from Rfam by way of RNAcentral. Lineage: Eukaryota; Metazoa; Chordata; Mammalia; Primates; Hylobatidae.
GCUGGGCAUGGUGGCAUAUGCCUGUAAUCCCAGCUACUUGGGAGGCUGAGACAUAAGAAUUGCUUGAACCCAGGAGUCUGAGGUUGCAGCGAGUGGAGAUCGCACUACUGCAUUCCAGCCUGGGUGACAGAGUGAGACUCUGUCUCAA